This is a long non-coding RNA of Myxocyprinus asiaticus (Chinese sucker), 2088 nucleotides long. RefSeq lists it as uncharacterized. NCBI's taxonomy places the organism in Eukaryota, Metazoa, Chordata, Actinopteri, Cypriniformes, Catostomidae. The record is from RefSeq and is a predicted model, not a curated record. The transcript has 3 exons.
AGAAAUAUGUAUCGCGCAAGAGAGCUUCCAGUUUUGCUCAUCGUUUGAAUAUUCUUUGGUUAAAUAUCAAAUUUUACACAAAAUGUUGUUAAAUUGCAUUAAAUAUGUGCUCACAAGAGUCAUGUGUUAAAAUUGAGUGUUUGUUAUGGAUCAUGUUUGAAGGAUGCAUAUGGAUUGCAUGUGUGGAGUUUGGCCACAUUUUUGCACAUGCAGGACUGGGGUUUAUUUCACCUGAGGCACCACAACAGCUAUGUCAGCUAUGCUAGACGUCUUGUAAGCAGAAACAGUGUGUUAUCGGAAGACUGUCAUCAUAGUCAUAAUAUUCAAUGCCUGAAUUGCCAUCGUCAUCUGCAUACCAACAGUCUUUUCCUCUGAGUGGACUCCUCCAACCUACUGUGACGACGGAGGAUUUGAGUGGAAACAGCGUCUCUUUGUUAGCCGCAAACUCCCCCUUUUACAGGCCCACAGUGGAAACUUCUAUACUUAGUCAUUCUAGGCUACACUACACUGGAUCUUUUCAUUUUCAAGGUAGUUCAUGGUGUUCACCUCCCUAGAUUUGUAUGAAACUGAUACUAACAGGCUAAAUAAGUUAAGUGGGUAUUUAUACAAAAUUAAGCUUUGCUUUCUGAUCGGAGUUACUCUGUAAAUGCAGACUUUCUGACUGCAAUACCACAUGGUAUUAGUAGUACUUUGCAAUAAAGUGACCCAUAGUAGGAGAAUAUAAACUUUAUAAAUAGCAGAAUGCAAAAUUACUUUGCAAAGCUUCAUUAGCUAGGCUUAUCUAGAUAGUAUGCUUUUGCUCAUCCUGUCAGUCUGAAUGCUCAUGCACAUUUCAGAGGCAUGAAGGUACUGUGUUUCUCUAAAGGUUUGACAAUUGCAGAGGUGUAGACUCAAUAUUGGAGUCCAUUUUUCACAUCCAAUAGUUGGCAAACUGAUGAAGUGGCUGAGCAUUUUUGGACACAUUCCAAACAAUUCAAAAGAUUCCCUUUCUAAGUAAUCAGACUUAUGAUUUUCUCCUGGCGGAUGAUAAAAUGGGCAAAAUAAAUCCUAUAUUACCCUAAAAUAUCUUAUGCAGUGUUGUUUCUAAAACAAGAUAAAUCAAACUGAUCUUGUUUUAAGGAUUUUUUGAUAUUUUUACAGGAAAACAAUACAAAAAUUAUUAUCAAGAAUAAGAUUUUUGCCCUAAUAUCAAAGGUCUUACUAGAAAAAAAGAAAUUAUGAUCUAAUGUGAAUUUUCUUGAUAAAAAAAUAUGAUCGUGCCUGGUAACAUGUGCAUGUAAAAUGGCUAGAAAUAGCAUUUUAGCUUAGCGUAAAGCUGACAGUUUACACAAGGUUUAUUUCUAUUUCUUCUGCUCCAAACUUCAAACUUCUCUGUCUGCUCUUAUGAAUCAUAAGAAAGUGUUUCACCGCUGUUCAAAUGCACUUUUGAUCGCAUCAUUUAUAUGUAUAAAUGUUUUCCAUCUGAAAGGACUAAAUAUUAAAUGAAACAAAUGACAAUAAAAUGCAAAGUAAUCUCAUCAGUAAUCAAAAUACUGUUUGAAUGUAACUGUAUUCUAAUUACAAAUGAUUUAAAUUGUAACUGUAGUGGAAUACAGUUACUUAUAUUUUGUAUUUUAAAUAUGUAUUCCCGUUACAUGUAUGCCAUUACUCCCCAACCCUGUAUAUAAAGUAAACAUGUUAUUAUUAUUAUUGUCAAAAUUAGUGGCAGUAACUCAGUCAAUUGCAUGACACAGGUUGUCAUGAGCUGUAAAAAUGAGAGCGCCUAUUAUGGGGUGACCCGCUCCAUGUAAAAUUAAACAGCUUUUAUUGGGUUACUGAUAUGACUGGACUCUUCAUCUCAUGUGAGUGUACAUCAUUUUCAACAUAUUUAAAAAAAAUGCAAUUUAGCUCUUUAUGUGUAAAACUUUUUUAAUAAGCAAUAACUUACAGUAAUGCACCUUUAAAGGGCAGACUUAGUAAAGCGAUGCUGUACAUUGCCUGUAAAGUAUGCUAGAUCGGGGUAGUUUGCUGCAUGCUCCACAACCUAGCACUCACAACUGGCCUGCAAGCUUUGCAGAAAUAACCAAAGUUCAGCCAUGCAACUCUAUG